This 73-nucleotide transfer RNA is filed under the name Archaeoglobus sulfaticallidus PM70-1. RNAcentral's name for it is "tRNA-Gly (GCC) (tRNA-Gly-GCC-1-1)". It matches the Rfam family "tRNA". From Rfam's summary of the family: Transfer RNA (tRNA) molecules are approximately 80 nucleotides in length. Their secondary structure includes four short double-helical elements and three loops (D, anti-codon, and T loops). Further hydrogen bonds mediate the characteristic L-shaped molecular structure. tRNAs have two regions of fundamental functional importance: the anti-codon, which is responsible for specific mRNA codon recognition, and the 3' end, to which the tRNAs corresponding amino acid is attached (by aminoacyl-tRNA synthetases). tRNAs cope with the degeneracy of the genetic code in two manners: having more than one tRNA (with a specific anti-codon) for a particular amino acid; and 'wobble' base-pairing, i.e. permitting non-standard base-pairing at the 3rd anti-codon position. RNAcentral also lists the same sequence under 1 other name. The record is from Rfam by way of RNAcentral. Lineage: Archaea; Methanobacteriati; Methanobacteriota; Archaeoglobi; Archaeoglobales; Archaeoglobaceae.
GCGCCGGUGGUGUAGUCUGGAAACACCAGGGCUUGCCGAGCCCUUGCCCCGGGUUCAAAUCCCGGCCGGCGCA